UUGAACGCUGGCGGCAGGCCUAACACAUGCAAGUCGAGCGGAUGAAGGGAGCUUGCUCCUGGAUUCAGCGGCGGACGGGUGAGUAAUGCCUAGGAAUCUGCCUGGUAGUGGGGGAUAACGUCCGGAAACGGGCGCUAAUACCGCAUACGUCCUGAGGGAGAAAGUGGGGGAUCUUCGGACCUCACGCUAUCAGAUGAGCCUAGGUCGGAUUAGCUAGUUGGUGGGGUAAAGGCCUACCAAGGCGACGGUCCGUAACUGGUCUGAGAGGAUGAUCAGUCACACUGGAACUGAGACACGGUCCAGACUCCUACGGGAGGCAGCAGUGGGGAAUAUUGGACAAUGGGCGAAAGCCUGAUCCAGCCAUGCCGCGUGUGUGAAGAAGGUCUUCGGAUUGUAAAGCACUUUAAGUUGGGAGGAAGGGCAGUAAGUUAAUACCUUGCUGUUUUGACGUUACCAACAGAAUAAGCACCGGCUAACUUCGUG
This 483-nucleotide ribosomal RNA is filed under the name uncultured bacterium. RNAcentral's name for it is "partial 16S ribosomal RNA". It matches the Rfam family "Bacterial small subunit ribosomal RNA", at positions 30 to 507 of the family's 1533-position model. The record is from RNAcentral.